This 71-nucleotide transfer RNA is filed under the name Phrynosoma platyrhinos (Desert horned lizard). Its description in RNAcentral is "tRNA-OTHER". The record is from RNAcentral. Lineage: Eukaryota; Metazoa; Chordata; Lepidosauria; Squamata; Phrynosomatidae.
GCCGGUGUGGCGUAGUGGUUUGAGCAUUGGACUAGAAUUCUGGAGACCAGGAUUCAAAUCCUGGAUCGACC